CGCUGCCUGAGGCGCAGGCGCGUGGACGCAGCCCGCCGGGGCCUCGCAUCGCUGUGGGCUUCCUCUGACGACCCAGCAGAGGCCUUUCCGCCUGGCGGUGCUCGGCGCCUCUGGCCUCACCGGCCAGUUCAUGACAGAGCAGGUGUCCCAGAGCGGACCUCCCACCUGCCGUGGGCCGCGCUGGCCGCUCCCCGGAGAAGCUGCGGAGAGUGCCGGAGAGGCUGCUGUGAAGCCGGGAAGACCAACACUGUCAUCUGAAAUUGGAAUAAUAAUUUCUGAUAUCACUAAUCCAGCCUCACUUGAUGAAAUGGCUACACCGGCAACAGUUGUCCUCAAUUCUGUAGGACCCGUACAUUGACUGUUAAGGAAAGUUUCCUGACCUUACAUUCAGGACCUGAGGUAUAGUUCAGAACUUGAGGUGCACUUGAACUUCCCUAAGGAAACCACAUGAUAUGAGAUGCUGAGAAAAAUUAAAUUGAUGUAUCUCCAGUGUACAACUUUCAUUUGAAGAUUGAAUAAAGAUUAGGAAAAAGAAGCUCAGUUCCUGGGGUCAAUGCAGUGGUUUAUACAGCAACUUAAACAACAGCAAUGAAAAAGUAGCAUCUAGGUGUUCAUUUCAUCUGCUUUCCAAAUGAAGUGACCAAACACCUCAAGAGGAUCUGGAUUUUUCCUGCAAGGAAGAACUUGUUGUCUUCACUUGUCUUCAAAUAAACUGAAACUUGAAGUAAAAAAUUUCACUAUACCUACACAUAGUAAGUACAUGAUAAAUACUAAUUACUCAGUUGAUUACAUAGGAUCAAUUAGAGUAAACAUUGUGUGCCAAGUGACUACCCAAGGAAUUCUAGAAAUCAGUUAACAUUUUUAUGUAGUGCACAAUGCAAGGCUUUAUUAUGUGUUACUGUGUCAUUAUACCUUGGAUUAUUUAUUGUGCUAAUCACUAGGGUUGCAAAAAUAAAAAUAUACAAGAAUCUCAAAUAUAGCAAGAGUUGCAACCAAGCAAAUCACCUCACAAAAUUAUGUAUAAAAUUCAGAGGGAUGAUCUUGAAGGCAGUGAAGGAUAUUAAAAAUCUCAUAGAAGAGAUAAUGCCAUACCAAAUUCCUACUCACCCUGGAAAUCACACUGGUUUUGAGGUUGAGUAGGAAUUUUGACAAGGCCAUAUACAAUUGAAAGUUAUGUGUGUGUGUGUAUAUAUAUAUAUAUACAUUGUGUGUGUAUGUAUAUAUGUGUGUGUGUGUGUGUGUGUGUGUGUGUGUAUAAAAUGACUGUGUGUAUAUGUAAAGUUAUGUUGGGGGCUGGAACAUUGUGGUAGGCAGAAUAAUGACCUCCCAAGAUAUCCAGAUCCUGGAUCCUGGAACCUGUGAAUGAUACCUUAUAGGGCAAACAGGACUCUGCAGGUGAGAUUAAAUUAAAGAUCCUGAGAUGGGAGGAAUUACCCUGGAAUACCCUCAUGAGCCUACCUGUGAUCACAAGUGUCCUGGUAAAAGGGAGGCAGAGGGAGAUUUGACUACAAAAGGAGAAGAGGUGAUGUGAUGAGGAAAGCAGAAACUGGAAGAUGUGUUUUGAAGGUGGAGAAAGAGCACAAGCCAAGGAACACAGGCCACUGGAAGCUGAAAAAGGCAAGGUGAUUGGAUUUCCCUCUCAGCCUUCACAAGGAAGCAUCCUUGCUGAUAAUUUGAAGUCAGCUCGUGUAUCUAAUGAUUUCAGACCUCAGACCUCCAAAACUGUAAGAUAAUGAAUGUAUGAUUUAUUAAUACCAAUAAGUUUGUGGUAGUUUGUUACAGUGGCAAUAGGAAACUAAUACAAGCAUGAGCUCUCAUGCUGAAAAGCCUCACUAGAAUCACAAACCUGACUCCAAAGAGCAUGGGAUAGGAAAGAGUUCCAGUUCCAGAAUCCUAGGAAACAAACAUUGAAAACUGCAUAAAGAAGAUCCAAUGAGAGAGACUGAAAAAAAAAAAAAAUCAAGGGAAAGAGUAUAAAGAAAUGAUGAUGUUGAACCCAAAGGAAGAAUUCUGUAGAAAUCUGCCCUCUCUUGCAUACCAGACAGAGAGACAGUAGAGAUAGGUGAUUGCAAAGCAGUGCUGGCAUUCUAAAUGAGAUUAUAAUUCAUAAAUCUGUAUUUGUUUUUCUACCAAUAUUUGAGGUAAUGGGAUUAAAAAAUCAAAUGUAAUGGGAAUAUGUACAUCAAAAAGGGUAUGAACUUGCAGGAAUUUAUAAAGUGCUUCAUAUGCUUUCCCUUUUGUACUUUAGGGUAUUCUAAAUUUUAUUUUAGUAUAAUGAUAUGAUAGUAAAUGCAUUUAAACCUGGCCCUCAAUUAUGAGUCUUAAAAAUAACCCUACUAAUUCUUUAUGAUUA
RNA transcript from Camelus dromedarius (Arabian camel), 2353 nucleotides. It is a transcript of the gene named saccharopine dehydrogenase-like oxidoreductase, with no coding region annotated. NCBI's taxonomy places the organism in Eukaryota, Metazoa, Chordata, Mammalia, Artiodactyla, Camelidae. The record is from RefSeq and is a predicted model, not a curated record. The transcript is spliced from 8 exons.